ACAUGAAAAUGGAAAUGUCAGCUAUGCUUUUACAGACAAUGUUGUAAAAUUUACAACUAAAUAAUUCAGAAUGCUUCAAUGCAGCUUUACUCUUUCAUCUAGUCUAUGAGAUGAUCUGGGUCGACAGUGUAUGUGUGUGCCAAAAUACACUGAAGGAAAAUAAUUUACAUUCCACUGGGACUACGAGAGGACUGCCACGAGCCCAGUAUGGAUUGACCUAAUCUCUGCACAAAAAGUUGUCAGGACUUCUUUUUAUCUGGGGAAGGUUAAAUCAAACAUCUACAGCUCUAAAAAGAGAUAAACUGCUGGGAAAGAAUACAAGACAACCUUCUGAUUGCCUGCUGAAAUGCUAAGAUCAAAUGGACCAGGUAGAACAUCAAGAAGAGUUUGGCUAAAGGCAAGUCAAAACCAUGACAUCAUCUGCAGAAGGCAGCUUGUUGCUGACAUCACUGAUUCUUCCUUCUGAUUUAAAUGGUAUUAUUCAUGUUGAUGGGAUCACUACAAGACUGUGAUCAGUC
This 518-nucleotide long non-coding RNA is filed under the name Apteryx rowi (Okarito brown kiwi). Its description in RNAcentral is "lncRNA (ENSARWG00000018767.1)". The record is from RNAcentral. Lineage: Eukaryota; Metazoa; Chordata; Aves; Apterygiformes; Apterygidae.